CGGGUUGGGUUUAGAGGUUGCCGUUGACAGAUUUACCACCGUCGACGCAGAUGACUUGGCCAUUGAUGUAGCAAGCAGCAGGGAGGCACAAGAAAGCCACCACAGCUGACACCUCCUCCGACUCGGCCACGCGCCCGAGAGGGAUGCGGUACGUCUCCUUCGCCACGAACUCCUCGAUCGCAAGCAACUGUGUUGGGGACGCAAACAUUUAAGUUUGGAAUCCAGGCAUUUCAUCAACUAGGUGGUGGCGGAGGAGGUCAUUACCGGUUCCAUGAGAGGGGUUCUAACGGAGCCGGGCGCGACGCAGUUGGUCCGGAUGUUGUCCUUCGCCCACUCGCAGGCCAGGCUCCUGGUGAGCUGGUUCAGCGCCGCUGGAGAAGAGCAAGCGAGAGUCAAGUUGCUGGAGAUCUCGAAGAGCUCCAAGAGCUCGACGAGUAAUCGAGUACGUACCUUUAGUUGCUCCGUAGAUGGUUAUGUUGUCAAUGCCGACGAUGCCGGCGAGCGAGGAGACGUUGACGAUGGUGCCUGCUCCUGAUGCCUUGAGCAGGGGGUGGGCGAGCUGGGUCAGGUGGAACGCAGACUCCAGGUUGGUGCUCAUCAUAAACUUGUACUCGUCAGGGGUUAUGGCCACCAUCGGCUUCACAAACCCCGUCCCUGCGUUGUUGAC
This 667-nucleotide long non-coding RNA is filed under the name Musa acuminata (dwarf banana). RNAcentral's name for it is "long non-coding RNA (MACU_LNC006803)". The record is from RNAcentral. Lineage: Eukaryota; Viridiplantae; Streptophyta; Magnoliopsida; Zingiberales; Musaceae.